GAACCCUCUGGUCAAGGCAGCCUGUCUUCCGUGUCGUUAGCAGGGUUAGUUAAGGCCGACCGCUGUCUUUGUACUGCAGGAGGGACUCACCUUUCAACAGUGAAAUUUGGAAGAUGUUAGUAAAGACAAAGGAGAAGUAUCGCUUCACACUUAUACAAAUGCUGGGGCUCUGAACAGAGACCUGAGUCCUCUUCUUCGUUCUUUCCCUGCUUUAGGAAGUGGCAGGUCCCGUGGGAGGAUAGAUGGAAGCAUCUGAGGACUUGCUAAGCCAGGGAGAAGUUUGGACUUGUAGGAAGAACUCAAGCUAAAAAUGGAGCAGCCGGUCAAAGCUGUCUGUCCUUCCUUCACUUCUUCAAGAACUGUACAGAGGAAAUGAAGAGAAAGGGUCCCCAUACACCCGUGCUCCAGGAACUAACACUGCAGACAACCAUAGACCUCUGCUGUCUACAGAAAGUUCCAAAGGACACACGCUAAUGAGCUUCACUAAUCAUCCAUUAUCCGUCAUUCAUUUAUUUUCCACAGUUGCUUCCCUGAGAGAUCCAAAGCCUGUUCUCUUUACCUUGUCACUUCUCUGAAAAGGUGCAGGAGAUGCUCUCUCAAAACCAGAAUUUAACAUCACCUCCUUGACAGCCACUCAUUCUGUCAAUGUCUCCUGGCAUUGGUGUGUUUUCCUCUUGUUAAUUGGCCUUUGCACCUAGGAAAAGGUUUGAAACUAAGAGCCUACAGUGUUAAGGGAAGACAUAUAAUAGUGUAUAUGUAUUAUACACUAUCCACUGUGGCAGUUUGGAAGAAGAUUGGAAGUUGAUUUUGUGUGCUGAAUCCUGCUUUUUCGUUCAGGGUGUAAGAUAUAUCCUUACUAUGACAUAACAAGUUGAACUUCAGAUGCAAACCCUGGUUUGUCUGAUGUAAAGCCUGCAUUCUUACCCAACCCUCUUAGCUUUCAACUCCAGUAUAACCAAAUCACCGGCUAGAUGAUAAGAUAUAAAGAAGCAGAAGUUGUCAGGCUUAGACAUCAUAGUCCUUCGGUAGGUAAUACAUAUUGUCUUCAUAGUUCAGCAGUUCUAAACAAUGGGGGCUUUAGUGUAUGUUUCCUGUGGAUGGUGCAGACGUAGCCCCGAGUACGGAAAGAUCAUUGCUAGGUGCUCCAGGGACAGGUAACACCUGCUGUCCGGGGUUCAUAAGCUUGUUGUUAAAGUGUCUCUCUGAGUGACAUUUUGCUCAUUUGCAACAUUUUAGAAGUAGACACUCAUCUCUGAACAGAAACUUGGCUCGCACGUAUAAAAUAAGUACAGUUUGACCACCACAGAAACCACUCCCAAUGAAGAGACAACCUUUUUAGGCAUGAAAAGUGUUUUGAGGAGAAGAUGAUUUGAGUUAGGGAAUGAAUAGACAUCAUUAGCAACUUAUCUUUGGAAUCAAUAUAAUACAUUAUACAUUAAACAGUACAAGAGAACGUAUGAUGCCAUACACCACGGAAGGCAGAAUGUAUGAGCACUAACCCAUUUAGUCCUUAUGAAGGCUCACGUGGCAGUUACUGCUGUGACUUAAACAAUGGGAAUGGGAGCAGAGUAUAAAGCAGAGAAACUUGCCUGAGAUCUGAUAAAUGUGUUAUCAACAAGGACUAGCUUGAAACCAUCUCCAUCCACUGCAACGCUCUCAAUCCCAGCUGUCACAAUUAUCACUAAUAACACAGUGUUGUUACACAGACUUGUUGUGACACAGCCACUGAGAGGGUGUGACACAACCCAGUUCUGGACACAGUACAGUGGGAUCUUGCUUCAUCUCCUCACCAUCUGCUGAGCCCUGGGAGCUUCUCAUAUCCAAUGCUGGACAGCUACUCUUUGGAACCUAGCAGUGGAAAUGGUCCCUCUGCUCUCACUGUGUGAAGACAGACUAGGAAGAAGAAAUAACUCCAGGUCUUUAAGACUGAAAGAAAAAGUAGCCCCACUUAUUUAGAAGGAAUGGUACCCUUGGCAUGGUCUGUGGUAUAAAAGGAACCGAGAAAGCCUCACAGGAAGGACAAUGAAUGGGAUAUUUUGGGCUAAGUGGAAUGUGAUAAAAAGCGUGACACAUUUUCAGGAUGGCCCAACCCAGGUGGUUCUGGCAAUAAAGUGAAAAUAUUCUUUC
RNAcentral lists this long non-coding RNA (2127 nucleotides) under Mus musculus (house mouse). RNAcentral describes it as "long non-coding RNA chr8:9459091-9461218". The record is from RNAcentral. Lineage: Eukaryota; Metazoa; Chordata; Mammalia; Rodentia; Muridae.